GAUGAAGAACGUAGCGAAAUGCGAUAAGUAAUGCGAAUUGCAGAAUUCAGUGAAUCAUCGAAUCUUUGAACGCACAUUGCGCCCGCCAGUAUUCUGGCGGGCAUGCCUGUUCGAGCGUCAUUUCAACCCUCAAGCCCAGCUUGGUGUUGGGGAUCGGCACAGGCGCCCUCGGGCGCCCGCCGUCCCCUAAAUCUAGUGGCGGUCCCGCUGCAGCCUCCUCUGCGUAGUAGUUUUCUCCUCGCAAGGGCAGCUCGGUGGCGACCUCGCCGUAAAACCCCCAACUUCUGAAAGGUUGACCUCGAAUCAGGUAGGAAUACCCGCUGAACUUAAGCAUAUCAAUAAGCGGAGGA
RNAcentral lists this unclassified non-coding RNA (350 nucleotides) under soil metagenome. RNAcentral describes it as "partial contains 5.8S ribosomal RNA, internal transcribed spacer 2, and large subunit ribosomal RNA". The stretch from base 1 to 120 matches the Rfam family "5.8S ribosomal RNA", at positions 35 to 154 of the family's 154-position model. The record is from RNAcentral.